AUCCACCUGACGAGUUCCAAGUAGGACGAAACGCGCGUUAUGGAU
Molecule: non-coding RNA, 45 nt
Organism: Schistosoma mattheei
Lineage: Eukaryota; Metazoa; Platyhelminthes; Trematoda; Strigeidida; Schistosomatidae
Source: Rfam